GAUGAAGAACGCAGCGAAAUGCGAUAAUUAAUGUGAAUUGCAGAAUUCCGUGAAUCAUCGAGUCUUUGAACGCACAUUGCGCCUCAUGGCAUUCCGUGAGGCAUGCCCAUCUCAGCGUUAGAAAAUAUUCUCAAAUUUUAGUUUUGUGCUAAAAUUUGGAUCAUGUCAAGGAAGCUAUUACUAUUAUUGUGAUCGCUCUUUGGAAAUUGAUAGGUCUUUGAGUUGCUACUCAUAGAACGUGAUGAAUCUUUCUUCGUUCUAUUUAAUUCACUCUGGUAGUCCUAAAACUUGUAUGCCUGUGGCAUAUCUUGUAAUUUGACCUGAGAUUGGGUAGGGAUACCCGCUGAACUUAAGCAUAUCAAUAAGCGGAGGA
Molecule: unclassified non-coding RNA, 373 nt
Filed under: soil metagenome
Description: partial contains internal transcribed spacer 2 and large subunit ribosomal RNA
Rfam family: 5.8S ribosomal RNA (bases 1-120)
Source: RNAcentral